AGAGUUUGAUCCUGGCUCAGGAUGAAUGCUGGCGGCGUGCCUAACACAUGCAAGUCGAACGGACUCAUAUUGAAACCUAGUGAUUUAUGAGUUAGUGGCGGACGGGUGAGUAACGCGUGGAAAACCUGCCGUAUACCGGGGGAUAACACUUAGAAAUAGGUGCUAAUACCGCAUAAGCGCACAGCUUCGCAUGAAGCAGUGUGAAAAACUCCGGUGGUAUGGGAUGGAUCCGCGUCUGAUUAGCUAGUUGGCGGGAUAGAGGCCCACCAAGGCGACGAUCAGUAGCCGACCUGAGAGGGUGGCCGGCCACAUUGGGACUGAGACACGGCCCAGACUCCUACGGGAGGCAGCAGUGGGGAAUAUUGCACAAUGGGGGAAACCCUGAUGCAGCGACGCCGCGUGAGUGAAGAAGUAAUUCGUUACGUAAAGCUCUAUCAGCAGGGAAGAGAGUGACGGUACCUGAGUAAGAAGCCCCGGCUAACUACGUGCCAGCAGCCGCGGUAAUACGUAGGGGGCAAGCGUUAUCCGGAUUUAUUGGGCGUAAAGCGAGCGCAGGCGGAAAGAUAAGUCUGAUGUGAAAGCCCCCGGCUUAACCGAGGAAUUGCAUCGGAAACUGUGUUUCUUGAGUGCAGAAGAGGAGAGUGGAACUCCAUGUGUAGCGGUGGAAUGCGUAGAUAUAUGGAAGAACACCAGUGGCGAAGGCGGCUCUCUGGUCUGUAACUGACGCUGAGGCUCGAAAGCAUGGGUAGCGAACAGGAUUAGAUACCCUGGUAGUCCAUGCCGUAAACGAUGAGUGCUAAGUGUUGGGAGGUUUCCGCCUCUCAGUGCUGCAGCUAACGCAUUAAGCACUCCGCCUGGGGAGUACGACCGCAAGGUUGAAACUCAAAGGAAUUGACGGGGGCCCGCACAAGCGGUGGAGCAUGUGGUUUAAUUCGAAGCAACGCGAAGAACCUUACCAGCCCUUGACAUCCUGCUGGCAGCCCGGUAAUGCGGGCUUUCCUACGGGACAGCAGAGACAGGUGGUGCAUGGUUGUCGUCAGCUCGUGUCGUGAGAUGUUGGGUUAAGUCCCGCAACGAGCGCAACCCCUGCUUACAGUAGCCAGCAGCAAGGCUGGGCACUCUGUAAGGACUGCCGGGGAUAACCCGGAGGAAGGCGGGGAUGACGUCAAAUCAGCACGGCCCUUACGUCCGGGGCGACACACGUGUUACAAUGGGUGGUACAGCGGGAAGCCAGGCGGCGACGCCGAGCGGAACCCGAAAUCCACUCUCAGUUCGGAUCGGAGUCUGCAACCCGACUCCGUGAAGCUGGAUUCGCUAGUAAUCGCGCAUCAGCCAUGGCGCGGUGAAUACGUUCCCGGGCCUUGCACACACCGCCCGUCA
Molecule: ribosomal RNA, 1380 nt
Filed under: uncultured bacterium
Lineage: Bacteria
Description: partial 16S ribosomal RNA
Rfam family: Bacterial small subunit ribosomal RNA
Source: RNAcentral